GUUAUAUUCGAGGCUAAACGCAACUCGUAUUAUGUGCAACUUCAACUACUGGCACCGGUAUAGGUAAGGUACGCGGUAGCCUAGCCAGAGACCGGUAGCUAAAGAGAUGGCGCUGACUUCAAACCACGUUAAAGUUGUGAAGCACGGCGAUGCGGUGAUGGGAGAGCACACACAGCGUGUGUACGACGAUAAGACUGGUAUGGUGGCCCAGAAGAAGACUACGUUUGCACAGGUUCCUGUGAAGGGAGGUGGACUUGCCUUUUGCGUUAGAGAGCAAGUACAAGUUGGACAAGUGGGUCCUCCAAGUUACACUCCACCUCCACGCAAUAUAGCCUUGCAGUAUAACGUAAAUGGGAGCCAAGCCUCGAAUCCAGGACGAUUUAAGAUACUUAUUUAAUCGGCUUCAAGUUGGAUUCGAGGAUAAUGCAUCUGAUAAACGAGUCUACAAAUGCAGCUGUCUUUUGUGCAGUUGCUUCAUUUUCUUGAUGGGCCUUGCGAUAAUCAUCCCUAUAGCUACUGUCGGUGGUUUGCAGUCAGGUGCCUCAGACUCUCUAUCAACUGGUGCAGCAAUCAGUGCGAUAUUUCUGGGUGUGAUAACUCUCUGUAUAUCCAUCAUCUGCUUCUGUACCCACUUUCUCAACUUUAAGACCUGUCAGGUGUUGCCCACAGGUGUCACUCCUAACCCUUAUGUUUGUUGCUACUCUGAUUACAAACACGGUGUUUUGUGUGUUGUUUGUGGUUCAGAAUAUCAACAAGCCUGCUGGGCUUGGCUCCUCCGCUGAAGUAGCUCAGCUGGCUGUUAUGAGUUUGUCUUGGAUUCUGCUACCGAUGUUUUGGGUCUUUUGUUUGUGCUCUGCUAAUACUUGCUGGAGCAAGCGUAAUAGUGCUGCAAACAUGUGAACUGAAACUGUAAUUUAUGUUUGUAAGUACAACUAUUGCAUGGUAGUGAGUUGUGUGACUGUCAACUAAAUCAUUGUUUGCUUUUUUAUAGUUAGUGAUUUUUACCACUUUGUUGCCUAGUAUUUAGAUUUAGGUCGUAUAAUAAAAACAUAUCAAUAAAAUA
Long non-coding RNA from Halichondria panicea, 1063 nucleotides. RefSeq lists it as uncharacterized. The transcript is spliced from 4 exons. The record is from RefSeq and is a predicted model, not a curated record. NCBI's taxonomy places the organism in Eukaryota, Metazoa, Porifera, Demospongiae, Suberitida, Halichondriidae.